Molecule: ribosomal RNA, 306 nt
Filed under: Triticum aestivum (bread wheat)
Lineage: Eukaryota; Viridiplantae; Streptophyta; Magnoliopsida; Poales; Poaceae
Description: partial small subunit ribosomal RNA
Source: RNAcentral
AUGAAACUGUUUAAGAGCACGGAUCUGCGUACGUCCAUUAGCAUUCAGCACCCGCAUUGUGCACAUUCGUACAUAAUAUGCUGUACUUUUACAAGCCAUGUUGCACGCAUACAUAACAUGCGUUUCUCGAAAGGAUCAUGGCAGCGUGGCAUUAAGAAAAUGCGGAGAAAUCAGAUACGGGGAUACUCCUACCUUGUACUCCCCAACUCGAGCGUCAGCCACAUGCGCGCAUGUUCAACUAUAAAGAAAUCCGAGCUGUUCAUUCAUGUUCUGUGCAAAUCCCUGAUACGUACUGCUGCUAUCUAG